GAUGAACGCUGGCGGCGUGCUUAACACAUGCAAGUCGAACGAGAAAUGGAGACGGAACCCUUCGGGCGGAAGGCUUCAUUUCGAGUGGCGGACGGGUGAGUAACGCGUGGGUAACCUGCCUCAUACAGGGGGAUAACAGUUGGAAACGACUGUUAAUACCGCAUAAGACCACAGCACCGCAUGGUGCGGGGGUAAAAACUCCGGUGGUAUGAGAUGGACCCGCGUUCGAUUAGCCAGUUGGCGGGGUAACGGCCCACCAAAGCGACGAUCGAUAGCCGAUCUGAGAGGAUGACCGGCCACAUUGGGACUGAGACACGGCCCAAACUCCUACGGGAGGCAGCAGUGGGGAAUAUUGCACAAUGGGGGAAACCCUGAUGCAGCGACGCCGCGUGAGUGAAGAAGUACUUCGGUAUGUGAAGCUCUAUCAGCAGGGAAGAAAAUGACGGUACCUGAGUAAGAAGCCCCGGUUAACUACGUG
RNAcentral lists this ribosomal RNA (478 nucleotides) under uncultured bacterium. RNAcentral's name for it is "partial 16S ribosomal RNA". It matches the Rfam family "Bacterial small subunit ribosomal RNA", at positions 28 to 507 of the family's 1533-position model. The record is from RNAcentral.